GAAAAGAAACCAACAGGGAUUGCCCUAGUAACGGCGAGUGAAGCGGCAACAGCUCAAAUUUGAAAUCUGGCUUCGGCCCGAGUUGUAAUUUGCAGAGGAUGUUUCUGGCGCGGUGCCUUCCGAGUUCCCUGGAACGGGACGCCACAGAGGGUGAGAGCCCCGUAUGGUUGGACACCAAGCCUGUGUGAAACUCCUUCGACGAGUCGAGUAGUUUGGGAAUGCUGCUCAAAAUGGGAGGUAAAUCUCUUCUAAAGCUAAAUACCGGCCAGAGACCGAUAGCGCACAAGUAGAGUGAUCGAAAGAUGAAAAGCACCUUGAAAAGGGGGUUAAACAGUACGUGAAAUUGUUGAAAGGNAAGCGCUUGUGACCAGACUUGCGCCGGGCGGUUCAUCCGGGGUUCUCCCCGGUGCACUCCGCCCGGUUCAGGCCAGCAUCGGUUCUCGUUGGGGGAUAAGAACGGCAGGAACGUGGCCCUCCUCCGGGAGGGUGUUAUAGCCUGCCGUACGAUACCCUGACGGGGACCGAGGUUCGCGCUCCGCAAGGAUGCUGC
RNAcentral lists this ribosomal RNA (550 nucleotides) under Microthia havanensis. Its description in RNAcentral is "eukaryotic LSU rRNA". It matches the Rfam family "Eukaryotic large subunit ribosomal RNA", at positions 56 to 629 of the family's 3401-position model. The record is from RNAcentral. Lineage: Eukaryota; Fungi; Ascomycota; Sordariomycetes; Diaporthales; Cryphonectriaceae.